This 636-nucleotide long non-coding RNA is filed under the name Equus caballus (horse). Its description in RNAcentral is "lncRNA (ENSECAG00000060134.1)". Lineage: Eukaryota; Metazoa; Chordata; Mammalia; Perissodactyla; Equidae. The record is from RNAcentral.
GUUUGGGCUGGAUUCUGUGUGAGCAGGGUGAGAACCACCAGGUGGCCAACACUGGCUCCGGGCACCGCGGGUACCUCAGGUUCCCCACCCGGGAGAUGGAAACACAGCCUCACUUAAAGGGUCUCAGGGGCUCCUACCAGACUGCACACACAGACAAGCUCAGAAGGCAAGGGGACCUCACCUGUUCACUUCAUACCUUGUCAACUUUCGUUUAAACAUUAUGUAAUUAUCGUAAUUCACAGGGAAUUCUGUUCCUCCCUGCUUCCUCCACUUCUUGGGGCAGAGAAAGGUAAUUUGAAAGGCGUUUGUGUCCGUGAUUCCCAGAGGAAAGGAAAGCUUGACUCACGGUGGGUGCUACCAGGCCUGCAGGCUGCCCAAGGCUCCCAGACCCUACAAACCCCACAGAUCCGUCCGGGCCUCCACAGCAUCAUGGCGUGGGUCUGCAAACAGCUCUGGGAACUCCAGGGUGCACGCUGAUCUUCUCCUCGAUGAAAGGUUGAAAAACAAAAUCUUAAUCACAUUGUGCUGAAUGUACUGAACACCUAGGCCUGCGGUUAGAGGAAGAAAUCAACUUGGAACAGUGGUGCCAUGUGGAAUCCUGCUAGCAGGGAGGAAAACACCCUGCCGUCUAAAUAG